GGGUCUCACUCUGUCACCCAGGCAAUGGCACGAUCUCGGCUCACUGCAGCCUCGACCUCCCGGGCUCAAGCCAUCCUCCCACCUUGGCCUCCCAAAGGGCUGGGAUUACAGGCAUGAGCCACCGUGCCUGGCCAAAUCCAACAAUUUAUUUUAAAAAGAUAAUACUGUACACCAUGAUCAAGUGGGAUAUUUCCCAGGACUGAAAGAUUGGUUUAACAGCCAGAACUCAAUUAAUGUAAUAAAUCAUAUUAAUAAAAUAAAGGACAAAAGCCACAUGAUCAUCCCAACUGAUAUAGAAAAUCCAUUUGACAAAAUCUGACACCCAUUUAUAAUUAAAAAAAAACUUUCAACAAACCAGAAAUGAGAGUGAACCUCCUCAACCUAGCAAUGGAAUCUAUGGAAACCUACAGCACGCUUCCUGGGGAAAGCCUGACCGUCUCGAAUCUAUGGAAACCUACAGCACGCUUCCUGGGGAAAGCCUGACCGUCUCCCCACGGAAGGGAGCAAGUCAAGGGGACCCUCCCCUCCCGCUCCUCCCACACUGCACAGCGGGUUCCAGCCAGGGCAGUGAGGCAAGAACAUGGAACUCAAAUCACCGAGAUUAGCAAAAAAGAUGUAGAAGUACGCCUCACGCCGUAGGUGGAAUCGCCUAAGGAAUCUACAAAGAUAAAAUAAAAUGAAGUAAAACCUGAUAAGAUGAUCGAAGGAGUUUAACAAGAUCAUGGGGCGUAGGAUAUUUCUGCACUGACAGUGAACACCCCAAGAUGAAAUGCAGAAAGCGUCCUGGUCAAAUAGCAUCAGAAAGAAUAAGCUACUUAGGAAUAAUUUCGCAAAGGAAGUGUGAGACUUGUACGCUGCAAACUGCGAAACAUGGCUGGUAAAAAGACCCAAAGAAAACCUGAACAGAUGGAGAGACUUCCCACAUCGAGGCUGAAAGGCUGAACCCUGCGCAGACGGCGGGGCUCCCGCGGUGCUCCGUGUGGCCUUCAUCCCCCUCUGGCCGUGUUCCCUCCCCGGCUCAGAGCCACUCCUCCUAGUUACCACCCUCGGCCCUCCCUCUGCAAGCCCAGGAUGCCCGGGCCACAGGCCGGUGAGCUGGGGAUCCAGCCUCUCCUGGCGUUUUACCCACGUAGGUGACAACUGACGGCACUGGAGCAGAGAGGCUGACUGCCCGAGGAGACCAGGGAGGCUUGGACCCCAGGCUGGAGGGGGCCGGGGACCCAGACCCACUCACUUGAUUUGGAAGGACACAGGGCUGUCAAACCUAUGCAGGGUCAUCACACCCGGCCCUUCGUUUGUCCCUUUUCGGCCAAGCUCAGGACCCUGUAACCCAGGAAGACAAGCUCGUGGUUCUGAGAUGACCCAGGGAAUUGGCCAAUCCCACCCGAAACCCUUGUUCCUUCCUCUGGUCAUUGACGUUCCUCCCAGACGGCUUCGAGAGCCCCGCAGAUCCUUCCACUACUCCCCAGCCUAGAAGAUCCAGGGACAGAAGCCCUCGAGGUUCUGGCUGGGCCCACGUGCUGAGAUGCCUCUGAGAAAGCUGUCUUUCCAUGGUGGAUCCCGCUGGAUGCCCGUGAACACGGGGCCAGCUUGCAGAGAGCUGGAAGGAGGCCUCCUGGCGGCACCCAGGCCUGACACAGGAUGGCACAGCAGAUGCAACCGUGGGCCUGGGGCCUGGGGUUCCUGGUUGGUGGCCAGGAGAGGCGGCCAGAAGACUCCAUGGCUCCCAGGGCCCAGUCGCAGCUGAGAGGCUCCCCGUCACGAUGGCCAAUAGCCCUUUCUCCAAGGACAAGGAUGGGGUGAUGGCACAACAUGUGUGGGUCGAGCACACCUACCCAUGUGCACACAUGGGUGUGCAUGUCCUGCUGGUGGCUGACCCGUGACCCUGCAUGCGUGUCCUGCGGGUGGCUGACCCGUGACCCUGCAUGCGUGUCCUGCUGGUGGCUGACCCGUGACCCUGCAUGCGUGUCCUGCUGGUGGCUGACCCGUGACCCUGCAUGCGUGUCCUGCGGGUGGCUGACCCCUGACCCUGCAUGCGUGUCCUGCGGGUGGCUGACCCGUGACCCUGCAU
This 2071-nucleotide long non-coding RNA is filed under the name Homo sapiens (human). RNAcentral describes it as "non-protein coding LINC00029:3". The record is from RNAcentral. Lineage: Eukaryota; Metazoa; Chordata; Mammalia; Primates; Hominidae.